GCCCGCAUAGAUCAACGGUAGAUCAUCUCUCCCAGUUGAUAUACCGAAGUCUGGACACGAGAGGAUGGAGGUUCGAAUCCUCCUGCGGGCA
Mycena alexandri is the source of this 91-nucleotide non-coding RNA. The record is from the annotation of a GenBank genome assembly. Lineage: Eukaryota; Fungi; Basidiomycota; Agaricomycetes; Agaricales; Mycenaceae.